GGAGGAUCCGAGCGUUAUCCUGAUUUAUUGGGUUUAAAGGGAGCGUAGGCGGACGCUUAAGUCAGUUGUGAAAGUUUGAGGCUCAACCGUAAAAUUGCAGUUGAUACUGGGUGUCUUGAGUACAGUAGAGGCAGGCGGAAUUCGUGGUGUAGCGGUGAAAUGCUUAGAUAUCACGAAGAACUCCGAUUGCGAAGGCAGCCUGCUGGACUGUAACUGACGCUGAUGCUCGAAAGUGUGGGUAUCAAACAGGAUUAGAUACCCUGGUAGUCCACACAGUAAACGAUGAAUACUCGCUGUUUGCGAUAUACAGUAAGCGGCCAAGCGAAAGCGUUAAGUAUUCCACCUGGGGAGUACGCCGGCAACGGUG
RNAcentral lists this ribosomal RNA (367 nucleotides) under uncultured bacterium. Its description in RNAcentral is "bacterial SSU rRNA". It matches the Rfam family "Bacterial small subunit ribosomal RNA", at positions 527 to 896 of the family's 1533-position model. The record is from RNAcentral.